Long non-coding RNA from Panthera uncia (snow leopard), 249 nucleotides. RefSeq lists it as uncharacterized. The record is from RefSeq and is a predicted model, not a curated record. The transcript is spliced from 3 exons. Lineage: Eukaryota; Metazoa; Chordata; Mammalia; Carnivora; Felidae.
GGACACGCAGACUAAUCCUGACUCGUGGAAGGGGACUACACAAGGGGAUGAAUUCCAGGAGACUCUCCAACACCUUGCACUGAAAGUUUCACUAGAGGCAAAUGCAUCUGUAUCCUGACAGUCGAUGAAAUCAAUCAAAUCAGAUGGGAGAAGCCUCCAGCUCUCCAAUCCAUCCUCCACACUGCUGCCAAAAAGUUGUUCCUAAAAACUAAUUGGACACGUCACUCUGCUGAAAAAAUCUCUAAUGGC